ACGAACGCUGGCGGCGUGCCUAAUACAUGCAAGUCGAACGAGUGACCCCUCGGUGGCAACACCUUGGGUGAUCUAGUGGCGAACGGGUGAGUAACACGUGAGGAACCUGCCCCGAAGACCGGGAUAACCAGAGGAAACUCUGGCUAAUACCGGAUGCCCCCCCCGGACCGCAUGAUCUGGUGAGGAAAUGGAUUCCGCUCCGGGAGGGCCUCGCGGCCUAUCAGCUUGUUGGUGGGGUAACGGCCUACCAAGGCGUCGACGGGUAGCUGGUCUGAGAGGACGAUCAGCCACACUGGGACUGAGACACGGCCCAGACUCCUACGGGAGGCAGCAGUAGGGAAUCUUGCGCAAUGGGCGAAAGCCUGACGCAGCAACGCCGCGUGCGGGAUGAAGGCCUUCGGGUUGUAAACCCCUUUCAGGAGGGAAGAAGUUGACGGUACCUCCAGAAGAAGCCCGCCUAAUUACGUGCCAGCAGCCGCGNUAAUACGUAGGGGGCGAGCGUUGUCCGGAUUUAUUGGGCGUAAAGAGUUCGUAGGCGGUUACGGAAUUCGGGUGUGAAAGACCGGGGCUUAACCCCGGGGUGUCAUUCGAUACUCCGUUGACUUGAGUCCGGUAGGGGAAGGUGGAAUUCCUGGUGUAGCGGUGAAAUGCACAGAUAUCAGGAGGAACACCGGUGGCGAAGGCGCCAUUCUGGGCCGGUACUGACGCUGAGGAGCGAAAGCUAGGGGAGCGAACAGGAUUAGAUACCCUGGUAGUCCUAGCCGUAAACGAUGGGCACUAGGUGUGGGGAGCUAUCCACUCUCUCCGUGCCGAAGCUAACGCAUUAAGUGCCCCGC
Molecule: ribosomal RNA, 836 nt
Filed under: uncultured bacterium #0319-7F18
Lineage: Bacteria; Bacillati; Actinomycetota; Actinomycetes
Description: bacterial SSU rRNA
Rfam family: Bacterial small subunit ribosomal RNA
Source: RNAcentral